This 253-nucleotide ribosomal RNA is filed under the name uncultured bacterium. RNAcentral describes it as "partial 16S ribosomal RNA". It matches the Rfam family "Bacterial small subunit ribosomal RNA", at positions 524 to 776 of the family's 1533-position model. The record is from RNAcentral.
UACGUAGGGGGCAAGCGUUGUCCGGAUUUAUUGGGCGUAAAGAGCUCGUAGGCGGCUCGUCGCGUCGACCGUGAAAACCCGCGGCUUAACUACAGGCUUGCGGUCGAUACGGGCGGGCUGGAGUUCGGUAGGGGAGACUGGAAUUCCUGGUGUAGCGGUGAAAUGCGCAGAUAUCAGGAGGAACACCGGUGGCGAAGGCGGGUCUCUGGGCCGAUACUGACGCUGAGGAGCGAAAGCGUGGGGAGCGAACAGG